Molecule: ribosomal RNA, 811 nt
Filed under: uncultured bacterium
Lineage: Bacteria
Description: bacterial SSU rRNA
Rfam family: Bacterial small subunit ribosomal RNA
Source: RNAcentral
AGAGUUUGAUCAUGGCUCAGAACGAACGCUGGCGGCGUGCCUAACACAUGCAAGUCGAACGGGGUUGAGGGGCUUGCUCCUCAAUUUAGUGGCGCACGGGUGAGUAACGCGUAGAUAAUCUGCCUGACGAUCCGGGAUAACACUUCGAAAGGGGUGCUAAUACCGGAUAAGCCCACGGGGACUUUGGUCUUUGCGGGAAAAGGGGGGGACCUUUUGGCCUUCUGUCGUCAGAUGAGUCUGCGUACCAUUAGCUAGUUGGUAGGGUAAAGGCCUACCAAGGCUACGAUGGUUAGCUGGUCUGAGAGGAUGAUCAGCCACACUGGAACUGAGACACGGUCCAGACUCCUACGGGAGGCAGCAGUGGGGAAUUUUGCGCAAUGGGCGAAAGCCUGACGCAGCAACGCCGCGUGAGUGAUGAAGGCUUUCGGGUCGUAAAGCUCUGUCGAGGGGAAAGAAGUGUAUUGUGGUUAAUACCCAUGAUACUUGACGGUACCCCUAAAGGAAGCACCGGCUAACUCCGUGCCAGCAGCCGCGGUAAUACGGGGGGUGCAAGCGUUGUUCGGAAUUAUUGGGCGUAAAGCGCGUGUAGGCGGUUUGAUUAGUCUGAUGUGAAAGCCCUGGGCUCAACCCAGGAAGUGCAUUGGAAACUGUCAGACUUGAAUACGGGAGAGGGUAGUGGAAUUCCUAGUGUAGGAGUGAAAUCCGUAGAUAUUAGGAGGAACACCGGUGGCGAAGGCGGCUACCUGGACCGAUAUUGACGCUGAGACGCGAAAGCGUGGGUAGCAAACAGGAUUAGAUACCCUGGUAGUCC